UUACACGACUCUCGGCAACGGAUAUCUAGGCUCUCGCAUCGAUGAAGAACGUAGCAAACUGCGAUACUUGGUGUGAAUUGCAGAAUCCCGUGAACCAUCGAGUCUUUGAACGCAAGUUGCGCCCGAAGCCAUUAGGCCGAGGGCACGUCUGCCUGGGCGUCACGCAUCGCG
This 171-nucleotide ribosomal RNA is filed under the name Hoya bella. RNAcentral's name for it is "5.8S ribosomal RNA". It matches the Rfam family "5.8S ribosomal RNA". From Rfam's summary of the family: 5.8S ribosomal RNA (5.8S rRNA) is a component of the large subunit of the eukaryotic ribosome. It is transcribed by RNA polymerase I as part of the 45S precursor that also contains 18S and 28S rRNA. Lineage: Eukaryota; Viridiplantae; Streptophyta; Magnoliopsida; Gentianales; Apocynaceae. The record is from RNAcentral.